This 540-nucleotide ribosomal RNA is filed under the name Escherichia coli O157:H7. RNAcentral describes it as "bacterial SSU rRNA". It matches the Rfam family "Bacterial small subunit ribosomal RNA", at positions 568 to 1107 of the family's 1533-position model. The record is from RNAcentral. Lineage: Bacteria; Pseudomonadati; Pseudomonadota; Gammaproteobacteria; Enterobacterales; Enterobacteriaceae.
CACGCAGGCGGUUUGUUAAGUCAGAUGUGAAAUCCCCGGGCUCAACCUGGGAACUGCAUCUGAUACUGGCAAGCUUGAGUCUCGUAGAGGGGGGUAGAAUUCCAGGUGUAGCGGUGAAAUGCGUAGAGAUCUGGAGGAAUACCGGUGGCGAAGGCGGCCCCCUGGACGAAGACUGACGCUCAGGUGCGAAAGCGUGGGGAGCAAACAGGAUUAGAUACCCUGGUAGUCCACGCCGUAAACGAUGUCGACUUGGAGGUUGUGCCCUUGAGGCGUGGCUUCCGGAGCUAACGCGUUAAGUCGACCGCCUGGGGAGUACGGCCGCAAGGUUAAAACUCAAAUGAAUUGACGGGGGCCCGCACAAGCGGUGGAGCAUGUGGUUUAAUUCGAUGCAACGCGAAGAACCUUACCUGGUCUUGACAUCCACGGAAGUUUUCAGAGAUGAGAAUGUGCCUUCGGGAACCGUGAGACAGGUGCUGCAUGGCUGUCGUCAGCUCGUGUUGUGAAAAGUUGGGUUAAGUCCCGCAACGAGCGCAACCCUUA